AUACGGAGGGUGCAAGCGUUAAUCGGAAUUACUGGGCGUAAAGCGUACGUAGGCGGUGAGUUAAGUUAGAUGUGAAAGCCCCGGGCUCAACCUGGGAACUGCAUUUAAAACUGGCUCACUAGAGUUGAGUAGAGGGGAGUGGAAUUUCAGGUGUAGCGGUGAAAUGCGUAGAGAUCUGAAGGAACACCAGUGGCGAAGGCGACUCCCUGGACUCGAACUGACGCUGAGGUACGAAAGCGUGGGUAGCAAACGGGAUUAGAAACCCUAGUAGUCC
This 274-nucleotide ribosomal RNA is filed under the name uncultured bacterium. Its description in RNAcentral is "partial 16S ribosomal RNA". It matches the Rfam family "Bacterial small subunit ribosomal RNA", at positions 523 to 796 of the family's 1533-position model. The record is from RNAcentral.